This 460-nucleotide ribosomal RNA is filed under the name uncultured bacterium. Its description in RNAcentral is "partial 16S ribosomal RNA". It matches the Rfam family "Bacterial small subunit ribosomal RNA", at positions 338 to 795 of the family's 1533-position model. The record is from RNAcentral.
CCUACGGGUGGCAGCAGUGAGGAAUAUUGGUCAAUGGACGGAAGUCUGAACCAGCCAUGCCGCGUGCAGGAAGACGGCUCUAUGAGUUGUAAACUGCUUUUGUACAAGGGUAAACCUGAAUACGUGUAUUCAGCUGAACGUACUGUACGAUUAAGGAUCGGCUAACUCCGUGCCAGCAGCCGCGGUAAUACGGAGGGUCCAAGCGUUAUCCGGAUUUAUUGGGUUUAAAGGGUGCGUAGGCGGAUUGGUAAGUUAGAGGUGAAAUGUCCGGGCUUAACUCGGGAACUGCCUCUAAUACUGUUGAGCUAGAGAGUAGGUGCGGUAGGCGGAAUGUAUGGUGUAGCGGUGAAAUGCUUAGAGAUCAUACAGAACACCGAUUGCGAAGGCAGCUUGCCAAUCUAUAUCUGACGUUGAGGCACGAAAGCGUGGGGAGCAAACAGGAUUAGAUACCCUGGUAGUC